Molecule: ribosomal RNA, 196 nt
Filed under: Penicillium brevistipitatum
Lineage: Eukaryota; Fungi; Ascomycota; Eurotiomycetes; Eurotiales; Aspergillaceae
Description: partial 28S ribosomal RNA
Rfam family: Eukaryotic large subunit ribosomal RNA
Source: RNAcentral
UUGACCUCGGAUCAGGUAGGGAUACCCGCUGAACUUAAGCAUAUCAAUAAGCGGAGGAAAAGAAACCAACAGGGAUUGCCCCAGUAACGGCGAGUGAAGCGGCAAGAGCUCAAAUUUGAAAGCUGGCUCCUUCGGGGUCCGCAUUGUAAUUUGUAGAGGAUGCUUCGGGAGCGGUCCCCAUCUAAGUGCCCUGGAA